GGAUGUGAGGGCGAUCUGGCUGCGACAUCUGUCACCCCAUUGAUCACCAGGGUUGAUUCGGCUGAUCUGGCUGGCUAGGCGGUUGUCGCCUUCCUUCCUCACCGCUCCAUGUAUGUCCCUCUCGACUGCGCGCUAGGUGGAAGAGGACGACCAUCACCAAUAGAGGAGGACUGUUCUUCAGUCAAGGGUAUAUGAGUAGCUGCGCUCCCCUGCUAGAACCUCCAAACAAGCUCUCAAAAUACCCUAAAGUAUAUCUUUAGUAUGAAGGUUAACGCUGGAUCUUGGAAGUUAAGCAGGGUUGGGCCUGUCUACGGGCCAUACCAC
This 324-nucleotide small nuclear RNA is filed under the name Castor canadensis (American beaver). RNAcentral describes it as "7SK RNA (ENSCCNG00000027632.1)". It matches the Rfam family "7SK RNA". Rfam says of the family: 7SK was discovered as an abundant small nuclear RNA in the mid-70s but a possible function has only recently been suggested. Two independent studies have found that 7SK RNA binds the CDK9/cyclin T complex (known as elongation factor P-TEFb). Lineage: Eukaryota; Metazoa; Chordata; Mammalia; Rodentia; Castoridae. The record is from RNAcentral.